GAUGAACGCUGGCGGCGUGCCUAAUACAUGCAAGUCGAGCGAACGGACGAGAAGCUUGCUUCUCUGAUGUUAGCGGCGGACGGGUGAGUAACACGUGGAUAACCUACCUAUAAGACUGGGAUAACUUCGGGAAACCGGAGCUAAUACCGGAUAAUAUUUUGAACCGCAUGGUUCAAAAGUGAAAGACGGUCUUGCUGUCCCUUAUAGAUGGAUCCGCGCUGCAUUAGCUAGUUGGUAAGGUAACGGCUUACCAAGGCAACGAUGCAUAGCCGACCUGAGAGGGUGAUCAGCCACACUGGAACUGAGACACGGUCCAGACUCCUACGGGAGGCAGCAGUAGGGAAUCUUCCGCAAUGGGCGAAAGCCUGACGGAGCAACGCCGCGUGAGUGAUGAAGGUCUUCGGAUCGUAAAACUCUGUUAUUAGGGAAGAACAUAUGUGUAAGUAACUGUGCACAUCUUGACGGUACCUAAUCAGAAAGCCACGGCUAACUACGUG
This 497-nucleotide ribosomal RNA is filed under the name uncultured bacterium. RNAcentral's name for it is "partial 16S ribosomal RNA". It matches the Rfam family "Bacterial small subunit ribosomal RNA", at positions 28 to 507 of the family's 1533-position model. The record is from RNAcentral.